This is a non-coding RNA of Manis javanica (Malayan pangolin), 821 nucleotides long. The record is from RefSeq and is a predicted model, not a curated record. NCBI's taxonomy places the organism in Eukaryota, Metazoa, Chordata, Mammalia, Pholidota, Manidae.
CCGGGCGGGCAGGGCCGAGCCCGGUGACCGUCCGUCUUAAGCCCGCUGCCCUUGUGAAGGUCUUGGAGGAGAUCCCUGGCCCCCACAGACGCGACCGGCCCCGCGUAGGCGGGCCCAGCCCGGCCUGGGGCUCGGGCCCCAAAUCCCGGGCCUGCCCGUGACUCCUGCCGCCCGCCAGCGGCUGGCCGAGGUCAGGUCGGGGGCCAGGGUGACCCGCAGUAAGGAACUCGGCGUUUGUGCUGCCCCUGCGCCCCGCCCCCUCCCACCCUCCGGGUUUCCUCUGCGCCACCAAGCCUGCAGGUCCAGUGACCCGGGCAGGGAGCCCCGCCCUGGGGGAAUCUGUACCCGAGGAGGGGGGAAUGUCGCCGCUGGGAUGCCCUCGGAAGGAGUUUAGAACCCGAAUUCAGCCAGGAACCUGACAGUUCUGGAAGAAUUAAACUUUUUUAUUGGGAGCACUGUGACUGCCGAAGCCACUUUAGGUGCAGGCGCGGGGGCUGCGUGGUAAUGGAUGCUUGCUUGCUCUGCUCUGGCCGACGGGGCAGUGCUGAGUUCGGUGACUGUAUAUGUAAAAUCUAUGACCAAUUUUAUGACUUUAGCCACUUUUGAAAGGCAGGAGUCUUUUUGUAUUGUAGGCUGACCUGAUUUUAAAUCAGCAGAUUCUUGGUUUAAUAGCCAGGGAACUACAGGUAGUGUUUUGACUGAUUUGUGCCCUUGAGUAAAGUCCCUCAUCUUUGGGGGGCUCCUCAAUGUUAAUGAAGGUGGUAUUUUACAUAAUAAGGAGCUAGAGAACCACACUAAGAGGAAAAUAGACCUGUGCAAUU